AGUGAACGCUGGCGGUAGGCCUAACACAUGCAAGUCGAACGGCAGCACAGUAAAAGCUUGCUCUUACGGGUGGCGAGUGGCGGACGGGUGAGGAAUACAUCGGAAUCUACUUUUUCGUGGGGGAUAACGUAGGGAAACUUACGCUAAUACCGCAUACGACCUACGGGUGAAAGCAGGGGAUCUUCGGACCUUGCGCGAUUGAAUGAGCCGAUGUCGGAUUAGCUAGUUGGCGGGGGAAAGGCCCACCAAGGCGACGAUCCGUAGCUGGUCUGAGAGGAUGAUCAGCCCCACGGGAACUGAGACCCGGGCCAGACUCCUACGGGAGGCAGCAGUGGGGAAUAUUGGACAAUGGGCGCAAGCCUGAUCCAGCCAUACCGCGUGGGUGAAGAAGGCCUUCGGGUUGUAAAGCCCUUUUGUUGGGAAAGAAAAGCAGCAGGUUAAUACCCCGCUGUUCUGACGGUACCCAAAGAAUAAGCACCGGCUAACUUCGUG
RNAcentral lists this ribosomal RNA (492 nucleotides) under uncultured bacterium. Its description in RNAcentral is "partial 16S ribosomal RNA". It matches the Rfam family "Bacterial small subunit ribosomal RNA", at positions 29 to 507 of the family's 1533-position model. The record is from RNAcentral.